This 441-nucleotide ribosomal RNA is filed under the name uncultured bacterium. Its description in RNAcentral is "partial 16S ribosomal RNA". It matches the Rfam family "Bacterial small subunit ribosomal RNA", at positions 338 to 795 of the family's 1533-position model. The record is from RNAcentral.
CCUACGGGGGGCAGCAGUGGGGAAUAUUGGGCAAUGGGCGCAAGCCUGACCCAGCAACGCCGCGUGAAGGAAGAAGGCUUUCGGGUUGUAAACUUCUUUUGUCAGGGAAGAGUAGAAGACGGUACCUGACGAAUAAGCCACGGCUAACUACGUGCCAGCAGCCGCGGUAAUACGUAGGGAGCGAGCGUUGUCCGGAAUUACUGGGUGUAAAGGGAGCGUAGGCGGGGAUGCAAGUUGGGUGUCAAAACUACCGGCUCAACUGGUAGUCGCACUCAAAACUGCAGCUCUUGAGUGAAGUAGAGGCAGGCGGAAUUCCUAGUGUAGCGGUGAAAUGCGUAGAUAUUAGGAGGAACACCAGUGGCGAAGGCGGCCUGCUGGGCUUUUACUGACGCUGAGGCUCGAAAGUGUGGGGAGCAAACAGGAUUAGAUACCCUAGUAGUC